CUCGCGAUACAUCAAGAUCGUGCCAUCUCAAGAACACGAGAGAGAGAGAGAGAUUGAACAUAUAACUACUAGUACAUACCCUCAGCCCCGAGGAGGAUUACUCACACAUUAUCAUGGUGAGAAAAGAGAGAUUUGUUGAUGGAGAGAUGCAACCCCUAAGGGAUGGAGGCAUGGCGGCCACGGCAUCGGCGACGGGCGGUGGCCCCUUGCCCCUUGUU
Molecule: long non-coding RNA, 218 nt
Filed under: Hordeum vulgare
Lineage: Eukaryota; Viridiplantae; Streptophyta; Magnoliopsida; Poales; Poaceae
Description: long non-coding RNA (HVUL_LNC000685)
Source: RNAcentral